Molecule: ribosomal RNA, 492 nt
Filed under: uncultured bacterium
Lineage: Bacteria
Description: partial 16S ribosomal RNA
Rfam family: Bacterial small subunit ribosomal RNA
Source: RNAcentral
AGUGAACGCUGGCGGUAGGCCUAACACAUGCAAGUCGAACGGCAGCACAGUAAGAGCUUGCUCUUACGGGUGGCGAGUGGCGGGCGGGUGAGGAAUACAUCGGAAUCUACUUUUUCGUGGGGGAUAACGUAGGGAAACUUACGCUAAUACCGCAUACGACCUACGGGUGAAAGCAGGGGAUCUUCGGACCUUGCGCGAUUGAACGAGCCGAUGUCGGAUUAGCUAGUUGGCGGGGUAAAGGCCCACCAAGGCGACGAUCCGUAGCUGGUCUGAGAGGAUGAUCAGCCACACUGGAACUGAGACACGGUCCAGACUCCUACGGGAGGCAGCAGUGGGGAAUAUUGGACAAAGGGCGCAAGCCUGAUCCAGCCAUACCGCGUGGGUGAAGAAGGCCUUCGGGUUGUAAAGCCCUUUUGUUGGGAAAGAAAAGCAGCAGGUUAAUACCCCGCUGUUCUGACGGUACCCAAAGAAUAAGCACCGGCUAACUUCGUG